Long non-coding RNA from Neodiprion virginianus, 832 nucleotides. RefSeq lists it as uncharacterized. The transcript has 4 exons. NCBI's taxonomy places the organism in Eukaryota, Metazoa, Arthropoda, Insecta, Hymenoptera, Diprionidae. The record is from RefSeq and is a predicted model, not a curated record.
UCACACGUGUUCAAAAUCUUUUUUAAAAAAAAAAAAAAAACACUGCCGUUUGCUGUUAUUUAUUUAUCAAUCUUUAUUCGCGAUCAUCCGCGAUCUCGGUUGCUUUCGAUAUGAUUUAGGUAUUCGCGGAACGAUGGUACGAGAGGAAAACGAAAAAAAAACGAAAAAAAAAAAGAAAGGCGAGACGAAGUGGAAGCGACGAAAAGAAGAACGAAGAAACGGACCCGUGGGACAGAAGUGCGCGCGCGACUCGUAUUUUGUUGUCUCAGCAAUUUGUGCGCCUAGUCAGUGAAGCGGCUCGGGUGUCUCCGACUAUUCACUCGGGAAUCUUCGCCCUCGGAAAGUGGUGCGUCAGGGAACUGAAGAAUUCCCGCAUUCCAACGCAGACAAUUAACGAAUGGUACCGAGAAACCGUUUCUUGCAUUAUCCACGACCCACAUAUUCCUGCGUUUGCCACGAGAUUUGAAUGAGGUUAAAGAAAUUCGACGAUGCAGCUUCACGUUUACAAAAACCAGUUUUAAUGGCCUCUCUGAGACUGUGAGAUCCAAGGAAUUGGCUAAGAUUUCUCGACGUAUCUAUGUACAGCUGCUUUAAACGAACGUUACUGCAAUGCGUCUUUAUAUGGAACUUUGAAUUGGCCUUAGACGUAAAUAAAUGAAAUUACAGGUUAAAAAGUAUGCUGUACUUGUCGAGGAAUUUCGAAACGUCGGUACAAUAUUCAUAUGUCGAUGGAUUGAAGAACUCGAUUUUAAAAUGAAUUUGUAACUCAAGCGAUGACUAAUUGCCGAAAACCUCUGAUUACAUAUCUGUGAUAUGUAUUAGAUUUUCAAAA